UACGUAGGCAGCGAGCGUUUGUUCGGAAUUACUGGGCGUAAAGAGUGUGUAGGCGGUGCUCUAAGUUCGGUGUGAAAUCUCCUGCUUAACUGGGAGGGUGCGCCGGAAACUGGAGUGCUCGAGCGUGGGAGAGGAAAGCGGAAUUCCUGGUGUAGCGGUGAAAUGCGUAGAUAUCAGGAGGAACACCUGCGGUGUAGACGGCUUUCUGGACCAUUGCUGACGCUGAGACACGAAAGCGUGGGUAGCAAACAGG
Molecule: ribosomal RNA, 253 nt
Filed under: uncultured bacterium
Lineage: Bacteria
Description: partial 16S ribosomal RNA
Rfam family: Bacterial small subunit ribosomal RNA
Source: RNAcentral